RNAcentral lists this ribosomal RNA (436 nucleotides) under Fusarium avenaceum. RNAcentral describes it as "eukaryotic LSU rRNA". The stretch from base 122 to 275 matches the Rfam family "5.8S ribosomal RNA". Lineage: Eukaryota; Fungi; Ascomycota; Sordariomycetes; Hypocreales; Nectriaceae. The record is from RNAcentral.
AUACCUUAAUGUUGGCCUCGGCGGAUCAGCCCGCGCCCCGUAAAACGGGACGGCCCGCCAGAGGACCCAAACUCUAAUGUUUCUUAUUGUAACUUCUGAGUAAAACAAACAAAUAAAUCAAAACUUUCAACAACGGAUCUCUUGGUUCUGGCAUCGAUGAAGAACGCAGCAAAAUGCGAUAAGUAAUGUGAAUUGCAGAAUUCAGUGAAUCAUCGAAUCUUUGAACGCACAUUGCGCCCGCUGGUAUUCCGGCGGGCAUGCCUGUUCGAGCGUCAUUUCAACCCUCAAGCCCCCGGGUUUGGUGUUGGGGAUCGGCUCUGCCUUCUGGCGGUGCCGCCCCCGAAAUACAUUGGCGGUCUCGCUGCAGCCUCCAUUGCGUAGUAGCUAACACCUCGCAACUGGAACGCGGCGCGGCCAGCCGUAAACCCCCAACUUU